ACCACCAGCUAAGGUCCCCAAAUUGUCACUAAGUGAUAAAGGAGGUGGGAGUGCAAAGACAACCAGGAGGUUUGCCUAGAAGCAGCCAUCCUUAAAAGAGUGCGUAAUAGCUCACUGGUCAAGCGCUCCUGCGCCGAAAAUGAACGGGGCUAAGUGACGUACCGAAGCUGUGGGAUAGGUUAAAUCUAUCGGUAGGGGAGCGUUCUGCUUUGGGUGAAGCACUAGCGGUAAGCAGGUGUGGACGAAGCAGAAGUGAGAAUGUCGGCUUGAGUAGCGAAAACAUUGGUGAGAAUCCAAUGCCCCGAAACCCUAAGGGUUCCUCCGGCAGGUUCGUCCGCGGAGGGUUAGUCAGGACCUAAGGCGAGGCCAAACGGCGUAGUCGAUGGACAACGGGUAAUUAAUCCCGUACUGAUGUGGAUUUGUGCAGAGGGACGGAGAAGGCAUGAGCCAGCCGGAUGUUGGUUACCGGUGCAAGCGUUCGAGGCGUUGAGGAGUGGAGAAAACAUUCCGAGCUGAGGCGUGAGUCCGAGGUGAUACGUCACCGAAGUGGUAGCAGUCAAGCUUCCAAGAAAAGCUCCAAGCACGUUAAGUCCAUGUUACCUGUACCCGAAACCGACACAGGUAGGGAGGUUGAGAAUACCAAGGGGCGCGAGAUAACUCUCUCUAAGGAACUCGGCAAAAUGGCCCCGUAACUUCGGAAGAAGGGGUGCCCACCUAAGACGUGGGUCGCAGUGAAGAGAUCCAGGCGACUGUUUACCAAAAACACAGGUCUCCGCUAAGUCAAAUGACGACGUAUGGGGGCUGACGCCUGCCCAGUGCCGGAAGGUUAAGGAAGUCGGUCAGGACGCAAGUCUAAAGCUGGCGACUGAAGCCCCGGUGAACGGCGGCCGUAACUAUAACGGUCCUAAGGUAGCGAAAUUCCUUGUCGGGUAAGUUCCGACCCGCACGAAAGGCGUAAUGAUUUGGGCACUGUCUCAACGAGAGACUCGGUGAAAUUAUAAUACCCGUGAAGAUGCGGGUUACCCGCGACAGGACGGAAAGACCCCAUGGAGCUUUACUGUAGCUUGAUAUUGAGUAUCUGUUAAACAUGUACAGGAUAGGUAGGAGCCAGAGAAAGUAGGACGCUAGUCUUACUGGAGGCGCUGUUGGGAUACUACCCUUGUUUGAUGGAUGCUCUAACCUAGGCCGCUAAGCGUGGUCAGGGACAGUGUCAGGUGGGCAGUUUGACUGGGGCGGUCGCCUCCUAAAUGGUAACGGAGGCGCGCAAAGGUUCCCUCAGCACGCUUGGAAACCGUGCAUAGAGUGUAAAGGCAUAAAGGGAGCUUGACUGCAAGAGUUACAACUCAAGCAGGGACGAAAGUCGGCCUUAGUGAUCCGACGGCACUGAGUGGAAGGGCCGUCGCUCAACGGAUAAAAGUUACUCUAGGAUAACAGGCUGAUCUCCCCCAAGAGUUCACAUCGACGGGGAGGUUUGGCACCUCGAUGUCGGCUCGUCGCAUCCUGGGGCUGUAGUCGGUCCCAAGGGUUGGGCUGUUCGCCCAUUAAAGCGGCACGCGAGCUGGGUUCAGAACGUCGUGAGACAGUUCGGUCCCUAUCCGUCGUGGGCGUAGGAAAUUUGAGAGGAGCUGUCCUUAGUACGAGAGGACCGGGAUGGACAUACCGCUGGUGUACCAGUUGUUCUGCCAAGGGCAUCGCUGGGUAGCUAUGUAUGGACGGGAUAAGCGCUGAAAGCAUCUAAGUGCGAAGCCCCCCUCGAGAUGAGAUUUCCUUUGC
RNAcentral lists this ribosomal RNA (1773 nucleotides) under Sebastes caurinus (copper rockfish). RNAcentral's name for it is "bacterial LSU rRNA". It matches the Rfam family "Bacterial large subunit ribosomal RNA", at positions 1031 to 2819 of the family's 2925-position model. Lineage: Eukaryota; Metazoa; Chordata; Actinopteri; Perciformes; Sebastidae. The record is from RNAcentral.